UGUGAACUCGAAGAGUAGGGCGGGACACGUGGUAUCCUGUCUGAAUAUGGGGGGACCAUCCUCCAAGGCUAAAUACUCCUGACUGACCGAUAGUGAACCAGUACCGUGAGGGAAAGGCGAAAAGAACCCCGGCGAGGGGAGUGAAAAAGAACCUGAAACCGUGUACGUACAAGCAGUAGGAGCCCACUUGUUGGGUGACUGCGUACCUUUUGUAUAAUGGGUCAGCGACUUAUAUUCUGUAGCAAGGUUAACCGUAUAGGGGAGCCGCAGGGAAACCGAGUCUUAACUGGGCGUUAAGUUGCAGGGUAUAGACCCGAAACCCGGUGAUCUAGCCAUGGGCAGGUUGAAGGUUGGGUAACACUAACUGGAGGACCGAACCGACUAAUGUUGAAAAAUUAGCGGAUGACUUGUGGCUGGGGGUGAAAGGCCAAUCAAACCGGGAGAUAGCUGGUUCUCCCCGAAAGCUAUUUAGGUAGCGCCUCGUGAACUCAUCUUCGGGGGUAGAGCACUGUUUCGGCUAGGGGGUCAUCCCGACUUACCAACCCGAUGCAAACUACGAAUACCGAAGAAUGUUAUCACGGGAGACACACGGCGGGUGCUAACGUCCGUCGUGAAGAGGGAAACAACCCAGACCGCCAGCUAAGGUCCCAAAGUCAUGGUUAAGUGGGAAACGAUGUGGGAAGGCCCAGACAGCCAGGAUGUUGGCUUAGAAGCAGCCAUCAUUUAAAGAAAGCGUAAUAGCUCACUGGUCGAGUCGGCCUGCGCGGAAGAUGUAACGGGGCUAAACCAUGCACCGAAGCUGCGGCAGCGACACUAUGUGUUGUUGGGUAGGGGAGCGUUCUGUAAGCCGUUGAAGGUGGCCUGUGAGGGUUGCUGGAGGUAUCAGAAGUGCGAAUGCUGACAUAAGUAACGAUAAUGCGGGUGAAAAACCCGCACGCCGGAAGACCAAGGGUUCCUGUCCAACGUUAAUCGGGGCAGGGUGAGUCGACCCCUAAGGCGAGGCCGAAAGGCGUAGUCGAUGGGAAACAGGUUAAUAUUCCUGUACUCGGUGUUACUGCGAAGGGGGGACGGAGAAGGCUAUGUUGGCCGGGCGACGGUUGUCCCGGUUUAAGCAUGUAGGCGGAUGUUCCAGGUAAAUCCGGAACGUUAUUAACGCUGAGGUGUGAUGACGAGGCACUACGGUGCUGAAGUGACAAAUGCCCUGCUUCCAGGAAAAGCCUCUAAGCAUCAGGUAACAUCAAAUCGUACCCCAAACCGACACAGGUGGUCAGGUAGAGAAUACCAAGGCGCUUGAGAGAACUCGGGUGAAGGAACUAGGCAAAAUGGUGCCGUAACUUCGGGAGAAGGCACGCUGAUGGUAAGUGAAGUGACUUGCUCAUGGAGCUGAAAUCAGUCGAAGAUACCAGCUGGCUGCAACUGUUUAUUAAAAACACAGCACUGUGCAAACACGAAAGUGGACGUAUACGGUGUGACGCCUGCCCGGUGCCGGAAGGUUAAUUGAUGGGGUUAUCCGUAAGGAGAAGCUCUUGAUCGAAGCCCCGGUAAACGGCGGCCGUAACUAUAACGGUCCUAAGGUAGCGAAAUUCCUUGUCGGGUAAGUUCCGACCUGCACGAAUGGCGUAAUGAUGGCCAGGCUGUCUCCACCCGAGACUCAGUGAAAUUGAACUCGCUGUGAAGAUGCAGUGUACCCGCGGCAAGACGGAAAGACCCCGUGAACCUUUACUAUAGCUUGACACUGAACACUGGUCCUUGAUGUGUAGGAUAGGUGGGAGGCUUUGAAGUGUGGACGCCAGUCUGCAUGGAGCCAUCCUUGAAAUACCACCCUUUAAUGGCUGGUGUUCUAACGUGGGCCCGUAAUCCGGGUUGCGGACAGUGUCUGGUGGGUAGUUUGACUGGGGCGGUCUCCUCCUAAAGAGUAACGGAGGAGCACGAAGGUCAGCUAAUCCUGGUCGGACAUCAGGAGGUUAGUGCAAUGGCAUAAGCUGGCUUGACUGCGAGCGUGACGGCGCGAGCAGGUGCGAAAGCAGGUCAUAGUGAUCCGGUGGUUCUGAAUGGAAGGGCCAUCGCUCAACGGAUAAAAGGUACUCCGGGGAUAACAGGCUGAUACCGCCCAAGAGUUCAUAUCGACGGCGGUGUUUGGCACCUCGAUGUCGGCUCAUCACAUCCUGGGGCUGAAGUAGGUCCCAAGGGUAUGGCUGUUCGCCAUUUAAAGUGGUACGCGAGCUGGGUUUAGAACGUCGUGAGACAGUUCGGUCCCUAUCUGCCGUGGGCGCUGGAGAAUUGAGGGGGGCUGCUCCUAGUACGAGAGGACCGGAGUGGACGCAUCACUGGUGUUCGGGUUGUCAUGCCAAUGGCAUUGCCCGGUAGCUAAAUGCGGAAGAGAUAAGUGCUGAAAGCAUCUAAGCACGAAACUUGCCCCGAGAUGAGUUCUCCCUGACUCCUUGAGAGUCCUGAAGGAACGUUGAAGACGACGACGUUGAUAGGCCGGGUGUGUAAGCGCAGCGAUGCGUUGAGCUAACCGGUACUAAUGAACCGUGAGGCUUAACCUU
Molecule: ribosomal RNA, 2549 nt
Filed under: Klebsiella michiganensis
Lineage: Bacteria; Pseudomonadati; Pseudomonadota; Gammaproteobacteria; Enterobacterales; Enterobacteriaceae
Description: partial 23S ribosomal RNA
Rfam family: Bacterial large subunit ribosomal RNA
Source: RNAcentral